Molecule: ribosomal RNA, 269 nt
Filed under: uncultured Lachnospiraceae bacterium
Lineage: Bacteria; Bacillati; Bacillota; Clostridia; Lachnospirales; Lachnospiraceae
Description: partial 16S ribosomal RNA
Rfam family: Bacterial small subunit ribosomal RNA
Source: RNAcentral
UUGAAGCCUAGCGAUAUGUAAGUUAGUGGCGGACGGGUGAGUAACGCGUGGGUAACCUGCCUUGUACUGGGGGACAACAGUUGGAAACGACUGCUAAUACCGCAUAAGCGCACAGUACCGCAUGGUACAGUGUGAAAAACUCCGGUGGUGUGAGAUGGACCCGCAUCUGAUUAGCUAGUUGGUGAGAUAACAGCCCACCAAGGCGACGAUCAGUAGCCGACCUGAGAGGGUGAUCGGCCACAUUGGGACUGAGACACGGCCCAAACUCC